UGUUCUUGAAACCCAAAGAAUUUGGCGGUAUUUUAUUUCUUUUAGAGGAACCUGUCCUGUAAUUGAUAAUCCACGAUAGUAGUCACUUAUUUUUGUUUUCAAUUUGUAUACCUCCGUCAUCAGAGUAUCCUUUUAGGGUUAUAAAUAUUCUUAAUAUAAAAAAUAUUAUAUGUCAGGUCAAGGUGCAAUUUAUGAAUAAGUAGAGAUGGGUUACAAUAAACUUAUUUAAACGGAUUAUUAUUUUUAUGAAUAAUAUGAAGGUGGAUUUAAAAGUAAAAUUAUUUUAUUUGUUGAUUUGACUAUAGCUCUAAAAUAUGCACACAUCGCCCGUCGCUCUUAUUUUAAAAUAAGAUAAGUCGUAACAUAGUAGGUGUACCGGAAGGUGUACCUAGUA
RNAcentral lists this ribosomal RNA (394 nucleotides) under Leucorrhinia proxima. RNAcentral describes it as "partial 12S ribosomal RNA". It matches the Rfam family "Microsporidia small subunit ribosomal RNA", at positions 766 to 1304 of the family's 1311-position model. Lineage: Eukaryota; Metazoa; Arthropoda; Insecta; Odonata; Libellulidae. The record is from RNAcentral.